This 459-nucleotide ribosomal RNA is filed under the name uncultured bacterium. RNAcentral's name for it is "partial 16S ribosomal RNA". It matches the Rfam family "Bacterial small subunit ribosomal RNA", at positions 339 to 795 of the family's 1533-position model. The record is from RNAcentral.
CUACGGGCUGCUGCAGUAAGGAAUAUUGGUCAAUGGACGAAAGUCUGAACCAGCCAUGCCGCGUGGAGGAUGAAGGUCCUCUGGAUUGUAAACUUCUUUUAUCUGGGAAGAAAUCCAUGGUUUCUACUAUGGUUGACGGUACCAGAUGAAUAAGCACCGGCUAACUCCGUGCCAGCAGCCGCGGUAAUACGGAGGGUGCAAGCGUUAUCCGGAUUCACUGGGUUUAAAGGGUGCGUAGGUGGGCAGGUAAGUCAGUGGUGAAAUCUCCGAGCUUAACUCGGAAACUGCCAUUGAUACUAUCUGUCUUGAAUACCCUGGAUGUGAGCGGAAUAUGUCAUGUAGCGGUGAAAUGCUUAGAUAUGACAUAGAACACCAAUUGCGAAGGCAGCUCACUACGGGAAUAUUGACACUGAGGCACGAAAGCGUGGGGAUCAAACAGGAUUAGAUACCCGGGUAGUC